This 161-nucleotide ribosomal RNA is filed under the name uncultured bacterium. Its description in RNAcentral is "partial 16S ribosomal RNA". It matches the Rfam family "Bacterial small subunit ribosomal RNA", at positions 355 to 507 of the family's 1533-position model. The record is from RNAcentral.
UGGGGAAUUGUUCGCAAUGGGCGCAAGCCUGACGACGCAACGCCGCGUGGAGGAUGAAGAUCUUCGGGCCGUAAACUCCUGUCGAGCGGGACGAAUGCUUUGCGGCUGAAUAAUCCGCAGAGGUGACGGUACCGCUAAAGGAGGCCCCGGCUAACUCCGUG